This 253-nucleotide ribosomal RNA is filed under the name uncultured bacterium. RNAcentral's name for it is "partial 16S ribosomal RNA". It matches the Rfam family "Bacterial small subunit ribosomal RNA", at positions 524 to 776 of the family's 1533-position model. The record is from RNAcentral.
UACGGGGGGGGCAAGCGUUGUUCGGAAUUACUGGGCGUAAAGGGCGCGUAGGCGGCCUGCUAAGUCGGGUGUGAAAACUCUGGGCUCAACCCAGAGCCUGCAUUCGAUACUGACGGGCUAGAGUUCUGGAGGGGAAAGCGGAAUUCCUGGUGUAGCGGUGAAAUGCGUAGAUAUCAGGAGGAACACCGGUGGCGAAGGCGGCUUUCUGGACAGAAACUGACGCUGAGGCGCGAAAGCUAGGGGAGCAAACAGG